This 253-nucleotide ribosomal RNA is filed under the name uncultured bacterium. RNAcentral's name for it is "partial 16S ribosomal RNA". It matches the Rfam family "Bacterial small subunit ribosomal RNA", at positions 524 to 776 of the family's 1533-position model. The record is from RNAcentral.
UACAGAGGUCUCAAGCGUUGUUCGGAUUCAUUGGGCGUAAAGGGUGUGUAGGUGGCGCCGUAAGUCGGGUGUGAAAUUUCGGAGCUUAACUCCGAAACUGCAUUCGAUACUGCGGUACUUGAGGACUGGAGAGGAGACUGGAAUUCAUGGUGUAGCAGUGAAAUGCGUAGAGAUCAUGAGGAAGACCAGUGGCGAAGGCGGGUCUCUGGACAGUUCCUGACACUGAGACACGAAGGCCAGGGGAGCAAACGGG